RNAcentral lists this ribosomal RNA (447 nucleotides) under uncultured bacterium. Its description in RNAcentral is "SSU rRNA". It matches the Rfam family "Bacterial small subunit ribosomal RNA", at positions 26 to 518 of the family's 1533-position model. The record is from RNAcentral.
AGAACGAACGCUGGCGGCAGGCCUCAAACAUGCAAGUCUAGGGGGUGUAGCAAUACAUCACCGGCGGACGGGUGCGUAACGCGUGGGAAUAUACCUAUUGGUUCGGAACAACUGAGGGAAACUUCAGCUAAUACCGAAUGUGCCCGUAAGGGGAAAGAUUUAUCGCCAAUAGAUUAGCCCGCGUAGGAUUAGCUAGUUGGUGGGGUAAUGGCCCACCAAGGCUCCGAUCCUUAGCUGUUCUGAGAGGAAGAUCAGCCACACUGGGACUGAGACACGGCCCAGACUCCUACGGGAGGCAGCAGUUGGGAAUCUUGGACAAUGGGGGAAACCCUGAUCCAGCCAUGCCGCGUGAGUGAUGAAGGCCUUCGGGUUGUAAAACUCUUUCGACGGGACGAUAAUGACGGUACCCGUAGAAGAAGCUCCGGCUAACUUCGUGCCAGCAGCCGC